UACGUAGGGGGCAAGCGUUGUCCGGAUUUAUUGGGCGUAAAGAGCGUGUAGGCGGCUUUGCAAGUCCGUUGUGAAAACUCGAGGCUCAACCUCGAGACGCCGGUGGAAACUGCAAAGCUAGAGUCCGGAAGAGGAGAGUGGAAUUCCUGGUGUAGCGGUGAAAUGCGCAGAUAUCAGGAAGAACACCCGUGGCGAAGGCGGCUCUCUGGGACGGUACUGACGCUGAGACGCGAAAGCUAGGGGAGCGAACGGG
This 253-nucleotide ribosomal RNA is filed under the name uncultured bacterium. RNAcentral describes it as "partial 16S ribosomal RNA". It matches the Rfam family "Bacterial small subunit ribosomal RNA", at positions 524 to 776 of the family's 1533-position model. The record is from RNAcentral.